This 2240-nucleotide ribosomal RNA is filed under the name metagenome. RNAcentral describes it as "bacterial LSU rRNA". It matches the Rfam family "Bacterial large subunit ribosomal RNA", at positions 3 to 2274 of the family's 2925-position model. The record is from RNAcentral.
UUAAGCUAAUAAGAGCGCAGGGUGGAUGCCUUGGCACUAAGAGCCGAAGAAAGACGUGAUAAGCUGCGAAAAGCUGCGGUUAGGAGCAAAUAUCCAAUGAUCCGCAGAUAUCUGAAUGGGGAAACCCGGCUGGAAAAACUCCAGUCACUGCAUAGUGAAUACAUAGCUGUGUAGAGGGAACCCGGUGAACUGAAACAUCUAAGUAGCCGGAGGAAAAGAAAGAAACAUCGAUUUCCAAAGUAGCGGCGAGCGAAAUGGAAAGAGCCCAAACCGGGUUGCGUGCAAUCCGGGGUUAUGGACCGCAAUAAGUGACUCAGCGGAUAGAAGAAUGGUAUUGGGAAAGCCAGCCACAGAGGGUGAAAGCCCCGUAUUCGAAAUCUUAAGAGAGCGAGCGGAAUCCGAAGUACUACGAGACACGUGGAACCUUGUAGGAACUCGGGGGGACCACCCCCCAAGGCUAAAUACUCCUUAGUGACCGAUAGCGCAUAGUACUGUGAAGGAACGGUGAAAAGAACCCCGGGAGGGGAGUGAAAGAGAACCUGAAACCCUGUGUUUACAAGCUGUGGAAGAGCUUUAUAUGCUCAACCGCGUACUUUUUGUAGAACGGUCCGGCGAGUUACGCUUACUGGCAAGGUUAAGCACUAAAGGUGUGGAGCCGAAGGGAAACCAAGUCUUAAUAGGGCGAAAUAGUCAGUGGGAGUAGACCCGAAACCGGGUGACCUACCCAUGUCCAGGAUGAAGUUGCCGUAAAAGGCAAUGGAGGUCCGAACACACAUCCGUUGAAAAGGGUGGUGAUGAGGUGUGGGUAGCGGAGAAAUUCCAAUCGAACCCGGAGAUAGCUGGUUCUCCUCGAAAUAGCUUUAGGGCUAGCCUCAAUUUAGUCUUGCGGAGGUAGAGCACUGAAUAUCCUAGGGGGCGUCAAAGCUUACCGAAGAUUAUCAAACUCCGAAUGCCGUUAAGAUGAUGAUUGGGAGUCAGACUGCACGAGAUAAGUUGGGUAGUCAAAAGGGAAACAGCCCAGACCUCCAGCUAAGGUCCCAAAGUGAGUGUUAAGUGGAAAAGGAUGUGGGAUUUCGAAGACAACUAGGAUGUUGGCUUAGAAGCAGCCAUACAUUCAAAGAGUGCGUAAUAGCUCACUAGUCGAGAGGUCCUGCGCCGAAAAUGUCCGGGGCUAAACACUACACCGAAGCUGAGGAAUGACAUAGUCAUUGGUAGAGGAGCAUUCUUAUAGGGAAGAAGCUGUACCGAAAGGAGCAGUGGACUGAUAAGAAGAGAGAAUGCCGGAAUGAGUAGCGAGAGUAAGGUGAGAAUCCUUACGGCCGAAUAUCUAAGGUUUCCAGGGUAAAGCUGAUCUGCCCUGGGUUAGUCGGGGCCUAAGGCGAGGUCGAAAGACGUAGUCGAUGGAUAACAGGUUGAUAUUCCUGUACUACAAUAUAUCAGAACUGUGGGGACACAGACAGAGAGCCAGAGCCGGGAAUGGAGAAACCGGUACAAGCGAGGUAGGAGUGCAUCAGGCAAAUCCGGUGCACAAUCUGAAGACGUGAUGUGGAGCGAAACUAUAAGUAGCGAAGCUGGUGAGCUGGCUGUCGGGAAAAGCCGCUAUUGUGUAUAUUGUACCCGUACCGUAAACCGACACAGGUGGAUGAGGAGAGAAUCCUAAGGCCGACGGAAGAAGCAUUGUUAAGGAACUCGGCAAAAUGGCCCCGUAACUUCGGGAUAAGGGGUGCCUACGCAAGUAGGCCGCAGAGAAUUGGCCCAAGCAACUGUUUAGCAAAAACACAGGUCUAUGCGAAACCGUAAGGUGAUGUAUAUGGGCUGACGCCUGCCCGGUGCUGGAAGGUUAAGGGGAGAGGUUAGACGUAAGUCGAAGCUUUAAACUUAAGCCCCAGUAAACGGCGGCCGUAACUAUAACGGUCCUAAGGUAGCGAAAUUCCUUGUCGGGUAAGUUCCGACCCGCACGAAAGGCGUAAUGAUUUGGGCACUGUCUCGACAAUGCAUCCGGUGAAAUUGAAGUACCAGUGAAGAUGCUGGUUACCUGCGCCAGGACGGAAAGACCCCAUGGAGCUUUACUCUAGCUUGAUACUGGGAUUCGAUAUUGCAUGUACAGGAUAGGUGGGAGACUAGGAACCAGGGACGCCAGUUUUUGGGGAGUCACCCUUGGGAUACCACCCUUGCAGUAUUGGGUUUCUAACAUGCAGCCGUUAUCCGGCUGGUGGACAAUGUCAGGUGGGGAGUUUGAC